Molecule: long non-coding RNA, 1346 nt
Organism: Schistocerca americana (American grasshopper)
Lineage: Eukaryota; Metazoa; Arthropoda; Insecta; Orthoptera; Acrididae
Exons: 5
Source: RefSeq, a predicted model, not a curated record
AUCACAUGGAAGGAUGAGAAUUUAUGCUGCUCCAAGGAAUACUGUACCUGUUGUUGUUUCUCCUCCUUCUGUUUCACCUGUACAUAACCAGCCUCCAAUUCAAAGGAAGAUCAUUGACAUCAAUAGUGGGAAUGAUUCACAGGAUUCAGAUGAAGACCUGGUAAAGACUCCAGUGAGAAAGGGCUACCAAUCAGCUGAAGAGAAGAUAUAAGCAGAGUUACAAGAGAUGCAAAAACGUGAAGAAGAAUUGAGGUUGCUGAGAGCAAAACUAUUUGCUCAGUCACAGCCAAAUCUUUUGAGCAUUGGUAGUAUUGUGGAAGAAGAAAUUAAUCAUAUCAAUGGUAAUGGAGGGAAACAGACUUUGCAGAGUGCACAGUCUAUUCCAAACCUCUUAGAUUCUGAUGAUUCAUUGGAUGUUUCACAGGAUCCGGCUUCACAAAAGUUUCAGAAAAAUUCCCCAAGAAAAAGAAGUGCACUGAUUGCUGAGUGGGAGAGUAGGAUCCAAAAAAAUUCAGAGCAUUGAUCAUGACCUCUGAACCACCACCAAUGAAAAUGUCACAUUCCAGAAUGUGUGUGGAUACAACCAAGAAACAAUACUGCCUUUGCAAUUUUACUAGACUGCUGUGUUCCCAGUAUUGUGAAGAAAUUUGUUUUUCUUAUGUAGAGUUUCUUAAUAUUAUUGUGCAAUUAUUGUUGAAGAUUUCUGACAGGACCAGAAAUAAUAAGUAUUAUUAGGGAGGUAAUACACAAUACAUUCCAGCCACAUAGGAAACAAUGUCUAAGAUAUUUUCUUAAUGGGUUUCUUUGUAAUUGUAUAAGAACUGUCAUUUUACUCUGUGUGAUGAAUUGGUUUGAAGCUGAAUAUUCUGUUAAAAUCCUUAAACUUAAUUUCAAUGCACAAAUACUCAUACCAUUUGUUCUAAUUUGGCUACUGGGAUUUCAUAAUGGCUUCCAGUCACUUUUGGUUACCAUUGGCAUGAUGCAGAAGUUGAAGUAAAAAUUUCAAUGGUAUGAGCAGUGUUGUAUCAUUCUGUGUUGAAAGCAAUCAAAACAAUUUGAUUUUCCUUGUAUUGUGUCUUGCCUAUAUGCUAAAUUUGAUGAUUGCAUUUGAUGGAAAUUCAAAUGAAAAUCUAAAGUGAUGAGUGUUAAUAAAUGUUCCAUUUAGUGUGUUCUUUUCUUGAACUUCAGUGUAACACACUCCUGAAGAAAUAUUUUCCCUUUAUUGUUCUACACACAAGGAGCUUUUGUCCUUCCUUCUCAUUAAUUUGAAUGUGCUUAAAAAUUAGAAUAUUGCUGUGUGUCAUAUGUAAUUGCAAUAGAUUAAGGGUAUACUCCUUCAUAGUAUU